Molecule: transfer RNA, 59 nt
Filed under: Sacculina confragosa
Lineage: Eukaryota; Metazoa; Arthropoda; Thecostraca; Sacculinidae
Description: tRNA-Gln
Source: RNAcentral
UUAAAGUAGGUGUAGGGCACGCCUAAUUUUGAUUUAGGAAGAGAUUCAUAUCAUUUAAG